GCCGAAGUGGCGGAACUGGCAGACGCAGGGGACUCAAAAUCCCCCGCCUGGCAACGGGCGUGAGGGUUCGACUCCCUCCUUCGGCACCA
This 89-nucleotide transfer RNA is filed under the name Luteitalea sp. Its description in RNAcentral is "tRNA-Leu". It matches the Rfam family "tRNA". Rfam says of the family: Transfer RNA (tRNA) molecules are approximately 80 nucleotides in length. Lineage: Bacteria; Pseudomonadati; Acidobacteriota; Vicinamibacteria; Vicinamibacterales; Vicinamibacteraceae. The record is from RNAcentral.